GGCGGACGGGUGAGUAAUGGCUGGGAACCUGCCCUGACGUGGGGGAUAACAGUAGGAAACGACUGCUAAUACCGCAUGAUGUCUACGGACCAAAGAGGGGGAUCUUCGGACCUCUCGCGUCGGGAUGGGCCCAGUUGGGAUUAGCUAGUUGGUGAGGUAAUGGCUCACCAAGGCGACGAUCCCUAGCUGGUUUGAGAGGAUGAUCAGCCACACUGGAACUGAGACACGGUCCAGACUCC
Molecule: ribosomal RNA, 239 nt
Filed under: uncultured bacterium
Lineage: Bacteria
Description: partial 16S ribosomal RNA
Rfam family: Bacterial small subunit ribosomal RNA
Source: RNAcentral